UACGUAGGGGGCGAGCGUUGUCCGGAUUUAUUGGGCGUAAAGAGCGUGUAGGCGGCCAGGUAGGUCUGCUGUGAAAACUCGAGGCUCAACCUCGAGACGUCGGCGGAAACCAUCUGGCUAGAGUCCGGAAGAGGAGAGUGGAAUUUACGGUGUAGCGGUGAAAUGCGUAGAUAUCGUAAGGAAGACCAGUGGCGAAGGCGGGUCUCUGGACAGUUCCUGACGCUGAGGCACGAAGGUCAGGGGAGCAAACGGG
RNAcentral lists this ribosomal RNA (253 nucleotides) under uncultured bacterium. RNAcentral's name for it is "partial 16S ribosomal RNA". It matches the Rfam family "Bacterial small subunit ribosomal RNA", at positions 524 to 776 of the family's 1533-position model. The record is from RNAcentral.